CAGUGUCUGGUGGGUAGUUUGACUGGGGCGGUCUCCUCCUAAAGAGUAACGGAGGAGCACGAAGGUUGGCUAAUCCUGGUCGGACAUCAGGAGGUUAGUGCAAUGGCAUAAGCCAGCUUGACUGCGAGCGUGACGGCGCGAGCAGGUGCGAAAGCAGGUCAUAGUGAUCCGGUGGUUCUGAAUGGAAGGGCCAUCGCUCAACGGAUAAAAGGUACUCCGGGGAUAACAGGCUGAUACCGCCCAAGAGUUCAUAUCGACGGCGGUGUUUGGCACCUCGAUGUCGGCUCAUCACAUCCUGGGGCUGAAGUAGGUCCCAAGGGUAUGGCUGUUCGCCAUUUAAAGUGGUACGCGAGCUGGGUUUAGAACGUCGUGAGACAGUUCGGUCCCUAUCUGCCGUGGGCGCUGGAGAACUGAGGGGGGCUGCUCCUAGUACGAGAGGACCGGAGUGGACGCAUCACUGGUGUUCGGGUUGUCAUGCCAAUGGCACU
RNAcentral lists this ribosomal RNA (488 nucleotides) under Salmonella enterica. RNAcentral describes it as "partial 23S ribosomal RNA". It matches the Rfam family "Bacterial large subunit ribosomal RNA", at positions 2252 to 2739 of the family's 2925-position model. RNAcentral also lists the same sequence under 3 other names. The record is from RNAcentral. Lineage: Bacteria; Pseudomonadati; Pseudomonadota; Gammaproteobacteria; Enterobacterales; Enterobacteriaceae.